Capra hircus (goat) is the source of this 2955-nucleotide long non-coding RNA. RefSeq lists it as uncharacterized. NCBI's taxonomy places the organism in Eukaryota, Metazoa, Chordata, Mammalia, Artiodactyla, Bovidae. The record is from RefSeq and is a predicted model, not a curated record. The transcript has 3 exons.
UAUUUUCACCACUGUUAAUAAACAAAAAAUCUGCAGAGCCUGAAGGUAGGACAGUUCUCGCUCUCUGUUUAGGAAAGACCUGUGGGUUCCAUCACCCUUAGGCCGGUGCACAUGCAGUGAGAGUUUCCAGCUGGAGGCGGCUCCGUGACCAGGAGCUCAGCUGCAUAGGUGAGGUUUUAUUUCUUGAGCUGACAGUGGUGGAUGCUGUGGUGAUCACCGAACACUUCUUGGACCUUCUUGACGAUCCUAAACAUUUUUACAGUUUAGCACGGGAGUCACUAAUGCUCCCCAGCUGUCCACUAAAGCGGGUCUGAGGUCCCAGGCCAUACUCAUCCAAUGACAGGACCAUGGUCCUUGCAGCCAACCUAAUUCCCUUUCACCACAGGCUCCUUGUCUGCACAGCCCUGAGGAGGGGGUCUCCCUCCCUACUGAGCCAGUGCACAGCCCUCUUUGAACACUUCUCACUAUGGGAAGGUCCUGCUUCGUGAAGAGUUCUUCCACCUGCUGGAAAUCAGUGUGCAUGUGAAUACAGAUGGCCAGGGAAACCCUCAGGUCUUUGAGGAUGUCAGACCCCUGCCUUCCUCACCCCAAUUUUUCUUUCUCCAGGCAAAACCUUAGGCUGUUUAUGCAGACAGGUAAACUAUAUUGGCUUCAGGUGUAUCACAAGCUUCAGGCAUAGCUGGAUGCAGGUGCCCAGCUGGUGUUUCUGUGUGUUUCAGCGCUGCUCUCCAACAUGUUGGCUUUAUCCUCAGGCCCACAGCCAUCCAGCUUCACAUUCCCUGGAGGUUCUAGCGAGGCUCGAUGCUCCCUGCAAAACUGCCAGCAGGCUUGGGUCAUGUGGCCAUCCCUGAACCUGCCACUGUGGCCUGGGAAACAGAGCACUCUGAUUGGUUAAACCUGCAUCACAGGAGCAUCAGUGCAUCCCAGAGGCAGUGUCAGCCCCGGCUGAACCACGUGGGCAGAAAGUGUGAAGGAAUGCUCCCCCCGAGAAAUCAAGGUGUUAUUACCACCAAGAGACAAGGUGUGUAAGUUAGACCAAGGUUCUGUCCCAGAGAUCCGCAGCAGCUGAGCCAAGGUGGAACUUUAUCUUCCCUGACGUUCCUUAGAUGCGAUCAGUCCUGGGCUGAUGCGACUCUUUCUGACAGUGGGCCCCAGCAGCUGAGUAUUAUCCACAUUGGAUGUAAAAGCUGUGAAAACACGACCACAUUUGCUGCUGCUGUCCUGGCCACUUAUAAACUCAGUUCCCACUCAAACAUCCGUCCUGCUCAGCAGGUCUCCUCGCCUCUGCCCUCAGGAUCUUUUCUGUCCAAGUCACAUAUACAAGUUGAUGACAAAGGAAGUCUUCACAUCUUGCUGAAGCUGUAGAAUGUUCUGAACUUGCUGGGAGAUGAUGCUGGAGAACUCAGGGAUCCCGCAGACAGUCUCUGACAAGCUGAGGCUCUUUCUUGCUCCACCAGCAAUGUGUGAAGAAUGAGAACACCCAGCUUGAAGGACAACACUGUACUCCAGAGUGAGUUGAAUGUCACAGAACUCAGAGGCAUGCGGUGCACAGGGUGCUUUGAGUAGUUAGUGCUCGAAGGGCCAAGGAAAGACCCCUGGGCAUUUCUGUGGGAAAACCAUUCCUCCUCCAAUGAACUUUUCUGCAUUCUGAGAAUUAGUACAUUAAUCUAAGAAUUAGCAAAUUAACCUAAAUUUUGUUUGCUGGAAGAUAAAAUGUAGGUAUUUUCAUAGCUUCAUUUUUUUCAAAAUAAAAUCCCAACUGAACAGUUUUCUUCUGUUACUAAGAAAUGCUCAUUCCCAGUGGCAGGGGAUUUGCGGUCAAAGCGUUUUUUUUCUUGGGCUCAUGAGGCCCCCAGCACGGGUCCAGACUCUGGGUAUCUUGAGGGUGGGGCCCACGUUGGGUCAUUCCUGGAGAGAAGUCUGGAAUGGGCGUGGCUCCAUGCCUGUGCAUUAAGUGGGGGAGUGAAUGGGCGUGUGAUGGGGCCCAGGGAGUCCUGGGCACUGGCAGAGCCUCCCAGCCCUGCAUAGCCGAGCAGGGCUAUCACCUCCUCCUCACCUCUCUGCUGGAGGUGGGAGGCCCAGGGAUCUCUCCUGCCCUGCUCACCAUCAAAGUCCCCAGGCAGAGGGGUGCCUCCUCCUCUCCCGCCUUCCUCGUGGGGGUGGUGUAGCCUCAAGGGCCUGACUCACCGGGUGGGGAGGAGCCCCAGAGCGAAGUCUCCCAAGGCCACGCCCCUUUAGGGGUGCAGCCAGGCUGUGCUGUGGGUGCGGGGCAACUGGGCCAGUCCCGGCUGCCUUCUACCUUGCUCCUCUGUGACUGAGGGUUUCCUGCUCUCUCCAGGCCUCUGUUUUCUCCUCUACCAAACGGAGGUGAGCCUCGACUUCGCAGACCCCAGUGCGCAGGGCCUGGCACGUAGACGCCGGCUCCGUCCUCACCGAGGGCGGCCCACGGCACGCCCCGCACAGGUGGAGACGAUGCCGGUGUAGGCACGCCGCAGCCCUGGAGCAUGUCCUCCCCGGGGAGGUGGCUGGCUGGGCACUGAACUCAGGCGGGGCCCUCGGACACACCUGCAGCCACUCCACUCUGCAUGCCCCGUGCCCGGUGCUGCCCCUCCCUGUGCUUGGUCUCCUGAACCACGGAUGACCCGACUGGCCGAGGUGGAAGUGGAGGUGAGGAGGCUGAGUCCCCUGGGAGCCUGAGGCUUUGAUGGCCCUCCAACCACAGGACCAGCAGACCCCAGAGGCUGGAUGGGGGCUGGAGACUUUCUGCCUGACCUGGGCCGCCAGCACCCGGACGGCAGGGACCACUUGUCUCUGCUCACUCUGAGCCCUCCGAGGUGCCAGUGAGUGAAGAGAGCUCUGCGCGGCGGCGUCCUAGCUUAGAGGUCGGAACGUUUCCCAGACGGGGAAGAGGACGUCACAGGGAGAGCCGUGGUGAGUGAAGGCAGGGGCCUGGCC